RNAcentral lists this transfer RNA (74 nucleotides) under Pteropus alecto (black flying fox). It matches the Rfam family "tRNA". From Rfam's summary of the family: Transfer RNA (tRNA) molecules are approximately 80 nucleotides in length. The record is from Rfam by way of RNAcentral. RNAcentral also lists the same sequence under 1 other name. Lineage: Eukaryota; Metazoa; Chordata; Mammalia; Chiroptera; Pteropodidae.
GGCUCCAUAGUGCAGUGGUUAGCACGUCUGCUUUACACGCAGAAGGUCCUGGGUUCGCGUGCCAGGUGGAGCCA